UGCACGCCCGAGCCCUUGAAUCCCAAACACCACAUGUGAACCCACCGUAGGCCUUCGGGCCUAUGUCUUAUCAUAUAAUCCGAAUGUCUAAUAGAAUGUAAACCCAUUUCGUUGCCUUGAAAACGUAACGAAAGAAAACUAUACAACUUUCAACAACGGAUCUCUUGGCUCUCGCAUCGAUGAAGAACGCAGCGAAAUGCGAUAAGUAAUGUGAAUUGCAGAUUUUCAGUGAAUCAUCGAAUCUUUGAACGCACCUUGCGCCCCUUGGUAUUCCGAGGGGCAUGCCUGUUUGAGUGUCAUUAAAUCCUCAACCCCUCCGAUUCGUUUCGGUGGGGAUUGGACUUGGAGCGUGCUGGCGAAGGUCGGCUCCUCUUUAAAUGCAUCAGCGGAGAAAAUGCCUUUUGCGCCUCUGGCCGUUCAGCGUGAUAAUGAUGUUGCGCUGCGGUCGAGCUUAAGGUCCGCUUCCAAAGGUCCUCGGACAAAUAUACAUAUGACUUUUGACCUCAAAUCAGGUAGGACUACCCGCUGAACUUAAGCAUAUCA
This 543-nucleotide ribosomal RNA is filed under the name uncultured Tylospora. RNAcentral describes it as "eukaryotic LSU rRNA". The stretch from base 145 to 299 matches the Rfam family "5.8S ribosomal RNA". Lineage: Eukaryota; Fungi; Basidiomycota; Agaricomycetes; Atheliales; Atheliaceae. The record is from RNAcentral.